Molecule: ribosomal RNA, 500 nt
Filed under: Klebsiella oxytoca
Lineage: Bacteria; Pseudomonadati; Pseudomonadota; Gammaproteobacteria; Enterobacterales; Enterobacteriaceae
Description: bacterial SSU rRNA
Rfam family: Bacterial small subunit ribosomal RNA
Source: RNAcentral
CGCUGGCGGCAGGCCUAACACAUGCAAGUCGAACGGUAGCACAGAGAGCUUGCUCUCGGGUGACGAGUGGCGGACGGGUGAGUAAUGUCUGGGAAACUGCCUGAUGGAGGGGGAUAACUACUGGAAACGGUAGCUAAUACCGCAUAACGUCGCAAGACCAAAGAGGGGGACCUUCGGGCCUCUUGCCAUCAGAUGUGCCCAGAUGGGAUUAGCUAGUAGGUGGGGUAACGGCUCACCUAGGCGACGAUCCCUAGCUGGUCUGAGAGGAUGACCAGCCACACUGGAACUGAGACACGGUCCAGACUCCUACGGGAGGCAGCAGUGGGGAAUAUUGCACAAUGGGCGCAAGCCUGAUGCAGCCAUGCCGCGUGUAUGAAGAAGGCCUUCGGGUUGUAAAGUACUUUCAGCGGGGAGGAAGGCGAUAAGGUUAAUAACCUUGUCAAUUGACGUUACCCGCAGAAGAAGCACCGGCUAACUCCGUGCCAGCCGCCGCGGUAAUU